Molecule: ribosomal RNA, 459 nt
Filed under: uncultured bacterium
Lineage: Bacteria
Description: partial 16S ribosomal RNA
Rfam family: Bacterial small subunit ribosomal RNA
Source: RNAcentral
CCUACGGGGUGCAGCAGUGAGGAAUAUUGGUCAAUGGGCGGGAGCCUGAACCAGCCAAGCCGCGUGAGGGAAGAAGGUACCGCGCAUCGUAAACCUCUUUUGUCAGGGAACAAAGUCGGGCACUAGUCCCCGGCUGAGGGUACUUGACGAAAAAGCAUCGGCUAACUCCGUGCCAGCAGCCGCGGUAAUACGGAGGAUGCGAGCGUUAUCCGGAUUUAUUGGGUUUAAAGGGUGCGCAGGCGGCCUGUUAAGUCAGCGGUAAAAGCCCGGGGCUCAACCCCGGCGAGCCGUUGAAACUGGCGGGCUGGAGUGGGAGAGAAGUACGCGGAAUGCGCGGUGUAGCGGUGAAAUGCUUAGAUAUCGCGCAGAACCCCGAUUGCGAAGGCAGCAUACCGGCUCCACACUGACGCUGAGGCACGAAAGCGUGGGUAUCGAACAGGAUUAGAUACCCGAGUAGUC